CUGACCUCAGAUCAGGCGAGAUYACCCGCUGAGUUUAAGCAUAUCACUAAGCGGAGGAAAAGAAACUAACAAGGAUUCCCUUAGUAGCGGCGAGCGAWCCGKGAAGAGCCCA
Molecule: ribosomal RNA, 112 nt
Filed under: Riccia sp. GL 1016
Lineage: Eukaryota; Viridiplantae; Streptophyta; Marchantiopsida; Marchantiales; Ricciaceae
Description: partial 26S large subunit ribosomal RNA
Rfam family: Eukaryotic large subunit ribosomal RNA
Source: RNAcentral